RNAcentral lists this long non-coding RNA (2461 nucleotides) under Nicotiana benthamiana. Its description in RNAcentral is "long non-coding RNA (NBEN_LNC025625)". Lineage: Eukaryota; Viridiplantae; Streptophyta; Magnoliopsida; Solanales; Solanaceae. The record is from RNAcentral.
UUUCUCCUAUUUCUGUUUCUUUAUGUGUUGUUUAGCUGUGUUGAGUUGUAUCGAGUUGGUAGGUUUGGGUUCGGAGUAGUUUUGGAUGAAAUGAUCACUUGUUCUCUUAGUUAGAAAGCUAAGAUAGAAAAGUCAACCGGAAGUUGACUUAUGAGCAAACAAAUUCGGAUUUGGAUUUUUAUGAUUCGAUUAGAUUUGUUGGGUGAUUUUAGACUCGGGAAUGUUUCUGGAAUAUAAUUUGGAGGUCCGUGGUAGAAUUAGGCUUGAAUUGGCGAGGGUUGGAAGGUUAGAAGUUCUUAGGCUUGAAUUCGAGGUUGAUUUGGUCCUUUGGUGUUGUUUUGGGGUUCCGGAGGUUCGACUAAGUUCGGAUAGUUAUGUGUGACUUGUGGAAAAUAUUGAUUGAAGUCCCUAGAGCCUCGGGUGAGUUUCGAAUAGAUUUGUGUUGAUAUUAUAUUGAACAAAUGAGCUCCGAUUUUUUUUGAAGCAUUAGAUCCGUAUCGUAAUUACGGACCCGUAGCAAAAAGAAUCAUCGACUUUGGAUAUCGUAUGGGGAUUUUAUGGUUAUUCUACUAAAAACUAGGUUGCUAGACUUUUUCAGAAUAAUUACGAAAUUACCACUAGCAGCGUGUUUAAUAAGGAUAUCGUAUGAGGAUUUUAUGGUCAUUUUACUAAAAAUUAGGUUGCCAGACUUUUUCAUAGUAAUUACGAAAUUGCCACUAGCAACGUAUUUAAAAAUUUGCACUAUUUGCAAAUAUUAAAACAUACAUAUCUAAUUCAUUAUAAGGUCAAAUUGCGUGAUUUAAAAGCCUAACUUGACUAUAAUUUCACAAGAAAUCCAUUGGAGACAUAAAAUAUGAGUUUCAGAAUUGUUUGGCACGAGAAACGAGGCAGAAUAGCUGGCAGAAAAAUAUAUAAAAUUAGAAUUUGUUCAUUUGGUCAUAUUUUGAGUUGGGAAGCUCGAUUUAGGCGAUUUUCACCAUAUGGAUUGGGGUAAGUUUUCUUUAUUCGGUUUUGAUUAUAUUUCAUGAAUACAUCUUAGUUUUUGGGAUUUGAUUGAUGAUUUCAAAGUGAAAAUUUAGGGAGUUAGGGUUUGAGUUUUGGAGAGUUUUAAGUGAGGAUUUGAGGGAUCAAAUAGAGUCCGAUUUUGACGAAUUUUAUAUGGUUAGACUCGGGAGAGGACGAGGAUUAUUAUUCUGCUAUUUUUGACUGAUUUCGAGAUGUGGUCCCGGGAGUCGGGUUUUGGCCGAUUUCGAAUUUUUGGCAUAUUUUGUAGUUUUUAUUGUGGAAUUUGAUUUUUAGCACAUGUUUAAUCUGAUUAUGGUUAGAUUCAGAGAUUUUUUAGACAGAGUCUAGAGACGAGGAUAUCUUGCAGUAGGAUUUUACGCGAUUGAGGUAAGUAACAGUUUUAACUCUGGCUUUCAGGGUAUAAACCCGGAGAAAUUGAUAUCAUGUGAUUGUUUGGUGGUGAUACCCACGCUAGGUGACAGGCAUGUGGGUGUGCACCGCGAGGGAUUGAGACUUGGUCCGUCCAGUGAGGUUGUGAGGCCUAAUGGCUAUUAUAGCAGUUAUAUGUUUACUUGUUGUUGAACUUGUUUGCCUUCAUGUUAGAGAUCAUGCUUAGGCUUUGCUCAUGCUCACAUUAUUUGUGGUCAGUCAUAGAAAUUAUUGUACAUGUGUAUCUCAGUUGCUAUUAUCUGCUAAUAUGUUGUGAUACUUGAUGUGGGUUGUGGCCCCUUAUUUGUUGAUUAUAGUGAGGCUAGUGAGUUAUAUGAUUGAGUAAGACGGAUGGCCUGGUUGUGAGGAUAUUAAUACCAUAGCGUGAGUUGUCCGGUAGCGCGUUAGUUGACCAUAGGGGUCCAGGUAUUGAUACCAUAGCGCGUGAGUUGACGUGCGGAUCUAGGUAUUGAUAUGAUGGCACGUGAGGUGUACGUGCAUAACGCUUGGGCUUUGGGAGCCCCUCCGGAGUCUGUACAUACCCCUAGUGAGUGCAGAGCGUUGAGUAUAGUGAGUGUUGAGUGCGAGUGCUGAGUGAUAGAGUGACAUUGCUGUGAGGUUGCAUUUACUUUUGUUGUUGUUGCAUUUACCUGUUAACUUGUUUGUGGUAUUUGUUGCUUUUACGGAAUUUACCUGUUUAUUCAUGUUUAUUGUAAAUUAUAAAAAUAAAUAAUUGGACUGUUUUUCUUAGCUCGUCGCUACUGCUCAGUUCCUUAGUUAUUUCUGUUACUACUGAGGUGGUUGUACUCAUACUACACCCUGCACUUUAUGUGCAAAUCCAGGUGAGUUAGAGCGCGGCGAUCAUUAAGUUCAGGCCGGCUAUCUGUGGAGAUUGCAAGGUAGCUGCUAAUUCCGCAGGACCUUGUUAUUCCUUUUGUCAUUUCUUCUUUUGGACAGUUAGACUGUUUAUAUAUCUUAGUUUAUAGUUUUAGACGCUCAUGACUUAGUGACACCCCGAUGUUUGGGG